UAAUAAGUGUUUUAUGGCACUUUUAAAUCCAUAUCCACCUUGUGUGCAAUGUCAGUCGUUCUUUCUUCAUGGAAGGAUCGACCAAACAUCAACCUUUAUCUAUUGAACUCUUUGUCUGAAAAUAUUAUGAAUAAACAAUUCAAAAUA
Molecule: unclassified non-coding RNA, 147 nt
Filed under: soil metagenome
Description: partial internal transcribed spacer 1
Source: RNAcentral